RNAcentral lists this ribosomal RNA (662 nucleotides) under Cellulomonas sp. enrichment culture clone N5. RNAcentral's name for it is "bacterial SSU rRNA". It matches the Rfam family "Bacterial small subunit ribosomal RNA", at positions 738 to 1399 of the family's 1533-position model. Lineage: Bacteria; Bacillati; Actinomycetota; Actinomycetes; Micrococcales; Cellulomonadaceae. The record is from RNAcentral.
AACUGACGCUGAGGAGCGAAAGCAUGGGGAGCGAACAGGAUUAGAUACCCUGGUAGNCCAUGCCGUAAACGUUGGGCACUAGGUGUGGGGUCCAUUCCACGGAUUCCGUGCCGCAGCAAACGCAUUAAGUGCCCCGCCUGGGGAGUACGGCCGCAAGGCUAAAACUCAAAGAAAUUGACGGGGGCCCGCACAAGCGGCGGAGCAUGCGGAUUAAUUCGAUGCAACGCGAAGAACCUUACCAAGGCUUGACAUGCACUCGUAACACCCAGAGAUGGGUGCCCCGUAAGGCGGGUGCACAGGUGGUGCAUGGUUGUCGUCAGCUCGUGUCGUGAGAUGUUGGGUUAAGUCCCGCAACGAGCGCAACCCUCGUCCCAUGUUGCCAGCGGGUUAUGCCGGGGACUCAUGGGAGACUGCCGGGGUCAACUCGGAGGAAGGUGGGGAUGACGUCAAAUCAUCAUGCCCCUUAUGUCUUGGGCUUCACGCAUGCUACAAUGGCCGGUACAGAGGGCUGCGAUACCGUAAGGUGGAGCGAAUCCCUAAAAGCCGGUCUCAGUUCGGAUUGGGGUCUGCAACUCGACCCCAUGAAGUCGGAGUCGCUAGUAAUCGCAGAUCAGCAACGCUGCGGUGAAUACGUUCCCGGGCCUUGUACACACCGCCCGUCA